This 146-nucleotide unclassified non-coding RNA is filed under the name uncultured Helotiales. Its description in RNAcentral is "sequence contains ITS2". Lineage: Eukaryota; Fungi; Ascomycota; Leotiomycetes; Helotiales. The record is from RNAcentral.
CAACCCUCAAGCCUAGCUUGGUCUUGGGCCCUGCCGGAAACGGCUGGCCUUAAAAUCAGUGGCGGUGCUAUCAGGCUCUACGCGUAGUAACUAAACCCUCGCGUGUGAGUCCCGGUAGACGCUGCCAGCCAACCCCCAAUUUCUAU